Molecule: ribosomal RNA, 482 nt
Filed under: uncultured bacterium
Lineage: Bacteria
Description: partial 16S ribosomal RNA
Rfam family: Bacterial small subunit ribosomal RNA
Source: RNAcentral
AUUGAACGCUGGCGGCAUGAUUUACACAUGCAAGUCGAACGGUAACAGCACUUCGGUGGCUGACGAGUGGCGAACGGGUGAGUAAUACAUCGGAACGUGCCUAGUAGUGGGGGAUAACUACUCGAAAGAGUAGCUAAUACCGCAUGAGAUCUAAGGAUGAAAGCAGGGGACCUUCGGGCCUUGCGCUACUAGAGCGGCUGAUGGCAGAUUAGGUAGUUGGUGGGAUAAAAGCUUACCAAGCCGACGAUCUGUAGCUGGUCUGAGAGGACGACCAGCCACACUGGGACUGAGACACGGCCCAGACUCCUACGGGGGGCAGCAGUGGGGAAUUUUGGACAAUGGGCGCAAGCCUGAUCCAGCAAUGCCGCGUGCAGGAUGAAGGCCUUCGGGUUGUAAACUGCUUUUGUACGGAACGAAAAGCCCUCUUCUAAUACAGGAGGGUCAUGACGGUACCGUAAGAAUAAGCACCGGCUAACUACGUG